This 253-nucleotide ribosomal RNA is filed under the name uncultured bacterium. Its description in RNAcentral is "partial 16S ribosomal RNA". It matches the Rfam family "Bacterial small subunit ribosomal RNA", at positions 524 to 776 of the family's 1533-position model. The record is from RNAcentral.
UACGUAGGUGGCAAGCGUUGUCCGGAUUUAUUGGGUUUAAAGGGUGCGUAGGCGGCCUAUUAAGUCAGUGGUGAAAUAUUUCAGCUCAACUGGAAUUGUGCCAUUGAUACUGAUGGGCUUGAGUACAGAUGAGGUAGGCGGAAUUGACGGUGUAGCGGUGAAAUGCUUAGAUAUCGUCAAGAACACCUAUAGCGAAGGCAGCUUACUAGGCUGUAACUGACUCUGAGGCACGAAAGUGUGUGGAUCAAACAGG